RNAcentral lists this ribosomal RNA (422 nucleotides) under uncultured bacterium. Its description in RNAcentral is "bacterial SSU rRNA". It matches the Rfam family "Bacterial small subunit ribosomal RNA", at positions 355 to 787 of the family's 1533-position model. The record is from RNAcentral.
UGGGGAAUAUUGCGCAAUGGGCGGAAGCCUGACGCAGCGACGCCGCGUGGGGGAUGACGGCCUUCGGGUUGUAAACCUCUUCAGCAUCGACGAAGCCUUUUUGGGUGACGGUAGGUGCAGAAGAAGCCCCGGCUAACUUCGUGCCAGCAGCCGCGGUAAUACGAAGGGGGCUAGCGUUGUUCGGAAUUACUGGGCGUAAAGGGCGCGUAGGCGGACUGUUAAGUCAGGGUGAAAUCCCGGGGCUCAACCCCGGAACUGCCUUUGAUACUGGCGGUCUUGAGUUCGGGAGAGGUGAGUGGAAUUCCGAGUGUAGAGGUGAAAUUCGUAGAUAUUCGGAGGAACACCAGUGGCGAAGGCGGCUCACUGGCCCGAUACUGACGCUGAGGCGCGAAAGCGUGGGGAGCAAACAGGAUUAGAUACCC